This 497-nucleotide ribosomal RNA is filed under the name uncultured bacterium. RNAcentral's name for it is "partial 16S ribosomal RNA". It matches the Rfam family "Bacterial small subunit ribosomal RNA", at positions 28 to 507 of the family's 1533-position model. The record is from RNAcentral.
GACGAACACUGGCGGCGUGCCUAAUACAUGCAAGUUGAGCGCUGAAGGUUGGUACUUGUACCAACUGGAUGAGCAGCGAACGGGUGAGUAACGCGUGGGGAAUCUGCCUUUGAGCGGGGGACAACAUUUGGAAACGAAUGCUAAUACCGCAUAAAAACUUUAAACACAAGUUUUAAGUUUGAGGGAUGCAAUUGCAUCACUCAAAGAUGAUCCCGCGUUGUAUUAGCUAGUUGGUGAGGUAAAGGCUCACCAAGGCGAUGAUACAUAGCCGACCUGAGAGGGUGAUCGGCCACAUUGGGACUGAGACACGGCCCAAACUCCUACGGGAGGCAGCAGUAGGGAAUCUUCGGCAAUGGACGAAAGUCUGACCGAGCAACGCCGCGUGAGUGAAGAAGGUUUUCGGAUCGUAAAACUCUGUUGGUAGAGAAGAACGUUGGUGAGAGUGGAAAGCUCAUCAAGUGACGGUAACUACCCAGAAAGGGACGGCUAACUACGUG